AACGAACGCUGGCGGCAUGCCUAACACAUGCAAGUCGAACGAGACCUUCGGGUCUAGUUGCGCACGGGUGCGUAACGCGUGGAAAUCUGCCCUUCGGUUGGGAAUAACACAGAGAAAUUUGUGCUAAUACCUUAUAAUGGCUUCGGACCAAAGAUUUAUCGCCGAGGGAUGAGCCCGCGUAUGAUUAGCUAGUUGGUGGGGUAAUGGCCUACAAAGGCGACGAUCCUUAGCUGGUCUGAGAGGAUGAUCAGCCACACUGGGACUGAGACACGGCCAAGACUCCUACGGGAGGCAGCAGUGGGGAAUAUUGGACAAUGGGCGAAAGCCUGAUCCAGCAAUGCCGCGUGAGUGAUGAAGGCCUUAGGGUUGUAAAGCUCUUUUACCCGGGAUGAUAAUGACAGUACCGGGAGAAUAAGCUCCGGCUAACUCCGUGCCAGCCGCCGCCGUAA
Molecule: ribosomal RNA, 449 nt
Filed under: uncultured bacterium
Lineage: Bacteria
Description: partial 16S ribosomal RNA
Rfam family: Bacterial small subunit ribosomal RNA
Source: RNAcentral